Molecule: small nuclear RNA, 158 nt
Gene: U1
Rfam family: U1 spliceosomal RNA
About the family: U1 is a small nuclear RNA (snRNA) component of the spliceosome (involved in pre-mRNA splicing). Its 5' end forms complementary base pairs with the 5' splice junction, thus defining the 5' donor site of an intron.
Source: Ensembl
ACACUGCUCCUCCCUCACUGUGAUCAAGAAGGCGGUUCACCAAGAGCGAGGCUCAGCCUUUGCACUCUGGCUGUGCUGACCCCUGCGAAUUCCCCAAAUGUGGGAAUCUCGACUGCAUAAUUUCUGAAAGUGGGGGACUGCGUUCGCACUCUAUUCUG